This 573-nucleotide long non-coding RNA is filed under the name Toxoplasma gondii VEG. The record is from RNAcentral. Lineage: Eukaryota; Apicomplexa; Conoidasida; Eucoccidiorida; Sarcocystidae.
CCGUCAAGAACGCAUCCGGGUACAUGUAGCCAACCCUCCGGGGUAGCAACGGACAUCCACAUCACUUCCACGGGAAUCCUCUGACGAGCAUCACCAUAAACUAUCACCUAAUUUCCAGCUGUAACUUUCCCAGUGGUAUAUUCCUUCUUGGAGUUCGGCAGCCUCCGGUAUCCAACUUCCAUUUUUUCCCCCGUAGUCGAUUGGGUGUGCAACUUAACGAAACGUUCAGUUCUUCAAAUGUUAAGUUGAUUGUAUACCAUAGCACCGCUGCAACGAAAUCGUCAAACGUUUAUUUCCGCAUCUUUGAGUACUCACGUUUUCAAACUAGUGUUGUCCUUUACGUAGUCCCUCGCAACUUUACCGUUUUAGACCAUACGAAUGUACACUCCACUUCCCCUUGCCUUUGACAGACGGGGCAACAUUGUUCAGCAAAACAGCGGUGAAACGUUCACCGUCCGCCGACGAACCGACCUGUGUGCGGGGAUCUGCCUCCCCCGAGAAGCAUUCAGGAUGGUAAAACAGACGAAGCUUCCUACCGUCACGGACAAUCACCUCUGAGUUCUUUGCUACGCC